AGAUUGUGCCAAUGCACUCCAGCCUGGGCAACAGAGCAAGACUUCAUCUCAAAAAAAAAAAAAGAAAUGAUUUACCCAUAGCCUGGCUGCUUGUGGAUCCCAGCUGCACCCCGUUCUAGCAUCAUCGUUCAUCAUGUUGGUGAAGGAAGAAUCUCCCACCCUAAAUAGCACAAGGUAGCUGUCUACAUGACACCUUGCACAGGACAGAUGUCAUCAACAGCAGUUUAUGAGUUACACGUACUCACGGCCUGGGGAAGAGGACACCACACACCAGGCAGGGACACACAAGGGGUGCACUCAGGAAUAGAGUGAAGCGGAGGGACACAGAGGCAGGCUUUAUAGGAACAAGGAGGUGUGGUGGCCUCUGGUGACUGUGGGAGGAUAUGUGGUUGGCUUGUUUGCGUUAUGGGCUGGCAGGGGCUGGAGACACAUGAGGUUGAGGAUUGAUGGGGGACACUGGUUCAGCCGACAGUGGAACAAGCCAGGCAGGAGCAGGGGCACUCACGGGGCCCCUUUGGGGCCUAGAAGCCUGAAGCACACUUGAAAAUUGUUCUUCUUCCCAUUUGAGUCUGCAUAUGAGGAUGUUUUCAGUAUUCACAUCCACUCUAAUUAAAGGAAAGUUUACCAUUCCAAUAAAUGCACUCCACAGGUGAGUUCUGGGGAGGAGACCCCUAAAAUGCAAUGAGCGUUGUAUUGUCUCUUCAGGAAACUAUAGUCAAAAAGCCACAAAAUCAAAAGGAAUCUUUCUACCACAUCACCUUAUAACCAGGAAGGAGAUUUGGGGUCAUGACCAUUUAGAAGGAAGAUGAAGAUACAUGCAGUAGAAAUAGUAUAAAAUAAUUCACUAAAAUGCCCUUUUACACAUUCAUUUAUCAAGUUCAAAGUUACAUUAUAGAUCGGGGUUGGCGAGUUUUCUUUUUUGUUUUUUAAUCAAGAGCUAGAUAGUAAAUAUUUUAGGCUUUGUGGGCCAUAUGGUCUCUGAUGACUCAGUUUUGCUGCUGCUGUGCAAAAGCAGCCAUGGACAAUAAUAAAUGGGCAUGGUUGUGCUUUAACAAGACUGGCUAUGAGAGCUGGUGGCCGGCUGCACUGGGCCCACUGGUGUAGUUUAUCAACCCAUUAUAAAGUAUCUGUUCUCAAAACACAUAUUUCAUAAGUCUGUAUGUUACCUUAUUUUUUAACCUUCCUUUGAAAUGAUCAGGUUGUGAGAUAUCUGGACAAUAUUCCCUCAUUUUACAGUCGAGAAACCUGAGGUACAGUACCUCUUCUGGGAAACCCUGGAAUGAGUAGCAAGCCAAGCGUAGAAAACAGACUUCCCGACUCCUCCCACACCCUGCCUGUCGCUCAACCCAGCUGAUACACUAGACUCCACCCAGCAACACCAACUUUCUGUGAGAAUAGUCAGUUUUGAAUUUCAGUAGGAAAAAAAAAAGAAAAGAAAAUUAGAUAACUACUUUGUAUCAAGCUGGAUUUUAUUCAUUGUUAACAUUUACCUUUUCUGUGUAUUUACUUGUGUCUGUGAAUUCUGUUCCAGUGGAAAGGACCUACAUUAAGGCUUGACCUGGUGUUUUGGAUAUUGACCUAAAGGGAUUUGGAUUUGGUUGGGAGAUCAGUUUCUCCACUAAAUAUGAUCAACAAUUAAGGGGUAACCUUUUCUCUUCCUGAAAUUUUUAAAAACCAUUUCCUCCCUGAAUUCUUUCUUCUGUUUUCACGUUUCAUUCACCAUGUGAAAGGCUGUGGCCCUGGUGUUCGAGGAGCCCCUUGUCUGAAGCAGCUGCUGCUCAUGAACAGGCAGAUUCUCUGCACAGCAGCCCUCAUUUCUAGAGGGAAGCCUUGUCAUUGUUGUGAAGGAAAAUGUUUAAUGCUCCAACCAGAGGCAACUUAGGCUUUUCCAGAGUUGGCCUUUCUGAGAUACUGUAAUUAAAUUGCAGAGGGGAUGUGGAAAAGGAAAGUGCUAUAAAUUGAAUGACACAGUUACAGAAGACUUAGACCUAAAUGACGAGCCCUGGAGUGUGAAUGCUUUGGCGAAGAAAAUAGAGCAAAAGUUUAUGAUCGAGGCUUCUUAAUGCCAUGCUGUAAAGCAAACACACACACUUGUGUAUGGCAAAGAUACCGAAUGCCCGCAUUCACUUCCACCAGAGGGGGUCUGAUCAGAACUCCCUGUGAUCGCCAGAGAAGACUCUGUCCAGCAGGAAGCUGAGGGGGCCUCUGUCUGUAAGUUUUUACAUUGUGAACCCAAAAUAUCUGAGACAACUCUCGAUAAAUUUGGAAAGUUUAUGUUCCCAAGGCUACGGCCGUGACACACCCUCAGGAAGUUUUGAGAACAUGUGCCUAAGUUUGGGAUACAGCCUGCCCUUUUUUUUUUUUUUCU
This is a long non-coding RNA of Sapajus apella (tufted capuchin), 2368 nucleotides long. RefSeq lists it as uncharacterized. Lineage: Eukaryota; Metazoa; Chordata; Mammalia; Primates; Cebidae. The record is from RefSeq and is a predicted model, not a curated record. The transcript is spliced from 3 exons.